Molecule: ribosomal RNA, 433 nt
Filed under: uncultured bacterium
Lineage: Bacteria
Description: partial 16S ribosomal RNA
Rfam family: Bacterial small subunit ribosomal RNA
Source: RNAcentral
AGCGAACGCUGGCGGCAGGCCUAACACAUGCAAGUCGAACGAACUCUUCGGAGUUAGUGGCGGACGGGUGAGUAACACGUGGGAACGUGCCUUUUGGUUCGGAAUAACUCAGGGAAACUUGUGCUAAUACCGAAUGUGCCCUUCGGGGGAAAGAUUUAUCGCCAUUAGAGCGGCCCGCGUCUGAUUAGCUAGUUGGUGAGGUAACGGCUCACCAAGGCGACGAUCAGUAGCUGGUCUGAGAGGAUGACCAGCCACACUGGGACUGAGACACGGCCCAGACUCCUACGGGAGGCAGCAGUGGGGAAUCUUGCGCAAUGGGCGAAAGCCUGACGCAGCCAUGCCGCGUGAAUGAUGAAGGUCUUAGGAUUGUAAAAUUCUUUCACCGGGGACGAUAAUGACGGUACCCGAAGAAGAAGCCCCGGCUAACUUCGUG